This 253-nucleotide ribosomal RNA is filed under the name uncultured bacterium. RNAcentral describes it as "partial 16S ribosomal RNA". It matches the Rfam family "Bacterial small subunit ribosomal RNA", at positions 524 to 776 of the family's 1533-position model. The record is from RNAcentral.
UACGAGAGCCUCGAGCGUUAUCCGGAAUUAUUGGGCGUAAAGGGUGCGUAGGUGGUUCUAUUAGUCUCCUGUUAAAUCCUCAGGCUUAACCUGAGAUGAGCGGGGGAAACGGUAGAACUUGAAAGUGCGAGAGGUGUACGGAACUCAUGGUGUAGGGGUGAAAUCCGUUGAUAUCAUGGGGAACACCAAAGGCGAAGGCAGUACACUGGCGCAUAUUUGACACUGAGGCACGAAAGCGUGGGUAGCGAAUGGG